This 422-nucleotide ribosomal RNA is filed under the name uncultured bacterium. Its description in RNAcentral is "bacterial SSU rRNA". It matches the Rfam family "Bacterial small subunit ribosomal RNA", at positions 29 to 494 of the family's 1533-position model. The record is from RNAcentral.
AACGAACGCUGGCGGCAGGCUUAACACAUGCAAGUCGAACGGGUGUCGCAAGACAUCAGUGGCAGACGGGUGAGUAACACGUGGGAACCUUCCUCGGGGUACGGAACAACGCAGGGAAACUUGCGCUAAUACCGUAUACGUCCGUGAGGAGAAAGAUUUAUCGCCCUGAGACGGGCCCGCGUCGGAUUAGCUAGUUGGUGGGGUAACGGCCUACCAAGGCGACGAUCCGUAGCUGAUCUUAGAGGANGAUCAGCCACACUGGGACUGAGACACGGCCCAGACUCCUACGGGAGGCAGCAGUGGGGAAUCUUGGACAAUGGGCGCAAGCCUGAUCCAGCCAUGCCGCGUGAGUGAAGAAGGUCUUCGGAUUGUAAAGCUCUUUUACCAGGGACGAUAAUGACGGUACCUGGAGAAUAAGCCCC